This 440-nucleotide ribosomal RNA is filed under the name uncultured bacterium. Its description in RNAcentral is "partial 16S ribosomal RNA". It matches the Rfam family "Bacterial small subunit ribosomal RNA", at positions 338 to 795 of the family's 1533-position model. The record is from RNAcentral.
CCUACGGGAGGCAGCAGUGGGGAAUAUUGCACAAUGGGGGAAACCCUGAUGCAGCGACGCCGCGUGAGUGAAGAAGUAUCUCGGUACGUAAAGCUCUAUCAGCAGGGAAGAAAAUGACGGUACCUGACUAAGAAGCCCCGGCUAACUACGUGCCGGCAGCCGCGGUAAUACGUAGGGGGCAAGCGUUAUCCGGAUUUACUGGGUGUUAAGGGAGCGUAGACGGCAGCACAAGCCUGGAGUGAAGUCCUGGGGCUUAACCCCGGAACUGCUUUGGAAACCGUGCGGCUGGAGUGCACGGUGGGUAAGCGGAAUUCCUGGUGUAGCGGUGAAAUGCUUAGAUAUUAGGAGGAACCCCGGUGGCGAGGGCGGCUUACUGGACUGUAACUGACGUUGAGGCUCGAAAGCGUGGGGAGCAAACAGGAUUAGAUACCCUGGUAGUC